AAGUCGUAACAAGGUCUCCGUAGGUGAACCUGCGGAGGGAUCAUUAACACGUUUCCACGUAUCAACCAAACGCGAACUCGAGGUGAAAAGCGCAAGCCUAGUAAUCUCAAUCGACCUGAAACUAAUUAAUUGUUUAAAUUUACUAGUGAUGGGCAAAUGUUUAACGCAAGUUGAACAAUUGCGGUGAAAUUAAACUUACAUAGCUCGACUAUGAAAAUUAGUUAGUCUCAGGUUUACACUUUCUUUUCAUCACAGGAUAACAAACCCCUUUCACCCCCUUAUAACAAUUGACUGAUUCUAUUUAAUCGGAGAAAUCCUUUUAAAUAAAUAAAACAAACUAAAGCACAACUCUUAGCAACGGAUAUCUAGGUUCUC
Molecule: unclassified non-coding RNA, 375 nt
Filed under: fungal sp.
Lineage: Eukaryota; Fungi
Description: partial internal transcribed spacer region
Rfam family: Eukaryotic small subunit ribosomal RNA (bases 1-46)
Source: RNAcentral